RNAcentral lists this ribosomal RNA (450 nucleotides) under uncultured bacterium. RNAcentral's name for it is "partial 16S ribosomal RNA". It matches the Rfam family "Bacterial small subunit ribosomal RNA", at positions 354 to 796 of the family's 1533-position model. The record is from RNAcentral.
GUGGGGAAUUUUGGACAAUGGGGGCAACCCUGAUCCAGCCAUCCCGCGUGUGCGAUGAAGGCCUUCGGGUUGUAAAGCACUUUUGGCAGGAAAGAAAUCGCACGGGAUAAUACCUCGUGUGGAUGACGGUACCUGCAGAAUAAGCACCGGCUAACUACGUGCCAGCAGCCGCGGUAAUACGUAGGGUGCAAGCGUUAAUCGGAAUUACUUGGCGUAAAGCGUGCGCAGGCGGGUCGGAAAGAAAGCUGUGAAAUCCCAGGGCUUAACCUUGGAACUGCAUUUUUAACUACCGGGCUAGAGUGUGUCAGAGGGGGGUGGAAUUCCGCGUGUAGCAGUGAAAUGCGUAGAUAUGCGGAGGAACACCGAUGGCGAAGGCAGCCCCCUGGGAUAACACUGACGCUCAUGCACGAAAGCGUGGGGAGCAAACAGGAUUAGAUACCCUGGUAGUCC